CACACUCUCUCACACACUCACACACACACUCUCACUCUCACACACUCACACUCACACACACACUGUCACACACACACUCGUGUACACUCACACUCUCACACACACACUGACACACACACACUCACUCACACUCACACACACUGUCACACACACUCGUGUACACUCACACACUCUGUACACUCUCACAUACACACUGUCACACACUCUCACACUCAUUCACACUCACACACACACUCUCACACUCUCACACACACUGUCACACACACACACACUCGUGUACACUCACACACUCGUGUACACUCUCACAUACACACUGUCACACACUCUCACACACACACACACACUCACACACACACUGUCACACACACUCGUGUACACUCACACACUCGUGUACACUCUCACAUACACACUGUCACACACACACACUCUCACACACACACACACACACUCGUGUGCACUCACACCGAUCUCCGUAACUCAAACAGCAUCCACCCCCCCCCUCCCCCCUCCCCCGAAGCCUUCUCCGUCCCUCUGUGCGCAGCUGCCUUCCCUCUGAGGGUCGUCUUUCACAUUUCCCUGCAGUUGCCCUCAGAGUGCGGAGUGAGACACACGCACGUUCCACUCACUGUGCCUGAUCUGCGCGGCGCUGGGGACUGAACCUAGAGCCUCGAGCUCGCUAGACAGACACUCUGGAGCCGGGGCCACAUCCCCGCCGCUGAGGGGGUUUGUAAUCAAAGCUUGAAGACAGAAAGCACAAGUGUUUCUAGUUGACCCAAGGCGACCCCAGGGGAGUUAUUGGCUGGAGGAGACCCCAGGGCAGUGAUUGGCUGGAGGUGACCCCAGGGCAGUGAUUGGCUGGAGGAGACCCCAGGGCAGUGAUUGGCUGGAGGAGACCCCAGGGCAGUGAUUGGCUGGAGGAGACCCCAGGGCAGUGAUUGGCUGGAGGAGACCCCAGGGCAGUGAUUGGCUGGAGGAGACCCCAGGGCAGUGAUUGGCUGGAGGUGACCCCAGGACAGUGAUUCCCUGGAGGAGACCCCAGGGCAGUGAUUGGCUGGAGGCGACCCCAGGGCAGUGAUUGGCUGGAGGAGACCCCAGGGCAGUGAUUGGCUGGAGGAGACCCCAGGGCAGUGAUUGGCUGGAGGAG
This 1144-nucleotide long non-coding RNA is filed under the name Cricetulus griseus (Chinese hamster). RNAcentral's name for it is "lncRNA (ENSCGRG00015038347.1)". The record is from RNAcentral. Lineage: Eukaryota; Metazoa; Chordata; Mammalia; Rodentia; Cricetidae.